GAUGAACGCUAGCGGCAGGCUUAACACAUGCAAGUCGAGGGGCAGCGCGGGAUAGCAAUAUCCUGGCGGCGACCGGCGGAAGGGUGCGUAACGCGUGAGCGACAUGCCCGUUGCCCGGGGACAACCGGUGGAAACGCCGACUAAUCCCCGAUGGGAUAUUGUGCCGCAUGGCACGAUAUUGAAAGUUACGGCGGCGACGGAUUGGCUCGCGUCCGAUUAGCUGGUUGGCGGGGUAACGGCCCACCAAGGCUGCGAUCGGUAGGGGUUCUGAGAGGAAGGCCCCCCACGAUGGGACUGGGACACGGCCCAUACUCCUACGGGGGGCAGCAGUGAGGAAUAUUGGUCAAUGGGAGGAAGCCUGAACCAGCCAUGCCGCGUGCGGGAAGGAGGCCCUAUGGGCUGUGAACCGCUUUUGCCUGGGGGCAAUAAGGGCGUCGCGCACGUCCGAUGAGAGUACCAGGCGAAUAAGCAUCGGCUAACUCCGUG
RNAcentral lists this ribosomal RNA (486 nucleotides) under uncultured bacterium. Its description in RNAcentral is "partial 16S ribosomal RNA". It matches the Rfam family "Bacterial small subunit ribosomal RNA", at positions 28 to 507 of the family's 1533-position model. The record is from RNAcentral.